AUACCUUUCUCGGCCUUUUGGCUAAGAUCAAGUGUAGUAUCUGUUCUUAUCAGUUUAAUAUCUGAUAUGUGGACCAUGUGUCCACUUUGAUAUUAAAUUUAUUUUUUGUGGGGUAGGGCUCACCAUAGUGGCUUGCCACUAGAGCCCUUGAGUAUCGCUCAUGCGUUGCACUAUUGCUUGAGCUGGCACACCCCAA
RNAcentral lists this small nuclear RNA (196 nucleotides) under Sorghum bicolor (sorghum). RNAcentral describes it as "snRNA U2". It matches the Rfam family "U2 spliceosomal RNA". Rfam says of the family: U2 is a small nuclear RNA (snRNA) component of the spliceosome (involved in pre-mRNA splicing). Complementary binding between U2 snRNA (in an area lying towards the 5' end but 3' to hairpin I) and the branchpoint sequence (BPS) of the intron results the bulging out of an unpaired adenosine, on the BPS, which initiates a nucleophilic attack at the intronic 5' splice site, thus starting the first of two transesterification reactions that mediate splicing. The record is from Rfam by way of RNAcentral. Lineage: Eukaryota; Viridiplantae; Streptophyta; Magnoliopsida; Poales; Poaceae.